AUUGAACGCUGGCGGCAGGCUUAACACAUGCAAGUCGAGCGCCCCGCAAGGGGAGCGACAGACGGGUGAGUAACGCGUGGGAAUCUACCGAGCCCUGCGGAAUAGCUCCGGGAAACUGGAAUUAAUACCGCAUACGCCCUACGGGGGGAAGAUUUAUCGGGGUUUGAUGAGCCCGCGUUGGAUUAGCUAGUUGGUGGGGUAAUGGCCUACCAAGGCGACGAUCCAUAGCUGGUCUGAGAGGAUGAUCAGCCACAUUGGGACUGAGACACGGCCCAAACUCCUACGGGAGGCAGCAGUGGGGAAUAUUGGACAAUGGGGGCAACCCUGAUCCAGCCAUGCCGCGUGAGUGAUGAAGGCCUUAGGGUUGUAAAGCUCUUUCACCGGUGAAGAUAAUGACGGUAACCGGAGAAGAAGCCCCGGCUAACUUCGUGCCAGCCGCCGCCGUAA
Molecule: ribosomal RNA, 447 nt
Filed under: uncultured bacterium
Lineage: Bacteria
Description: partial 16S ribosomal RNA
Rfam family: Bacterial small subunit ribosomal RNA
Source: RNAcentral